GACGAACGCUGGCGGUGUGCUUAACACAUGCAAGUCGAACGGUAAGGCCCUUUCGGGGGUACACGAGUGGCGAACGGGGGAGUAACACGUGAGUAACCUGCCCUCAUCUCUGGGAUAACAGUCGGAAACGGUUGCUAAUACUGGAUAUGAGCUUGCAAGGCAUCUUGUGGGUUGGAAAGAUUUUUUUGGGUUGGGGAUGGACUCGCGGCCUAUCAGCGUGUUGGUGGGGUAGUGGCUCACCAAGGCUUCGACGGGUAGCCGGCCUGAGAGGGCGACCGGCCACAUUGGGCCUGUGAGACGGCCCGAACUCCGACGGGAGGCAGCAGUGGGGAAUAUUGCACAAUGGACGGAAGUCUGAUGCAGGAACGCCGCGUGCUGGAUGACGGCCUUCGGGUUGUAAACCGCUUUCAAUUGUGACGAAGCUUUUUUGUGACGGUAGCAGUAGAAGAAGCACCGGCUAACUACGUG
Molecule: ribosomal RNA, 468 nt
Filed under: uncultured bacterium
Lineage: Bacteria
Description: partial 16S ribosomal RNA
Rfam family: Bacterial small subunit ribosomal RNA
Source: RNAcentral